Molecule: ribosomal RNA, 555 nt
Filed under: uncultured bacterium
Lineage: Bacteria
Description: bacterial SSU rRNA
Rfam family: Bacterial small subunit ribosomal RNA
Source: RNAcentral
AGAGUUUGAUUCUGGCUCAGGAUGAACGCUGGCGGCAUGCCUAACACAUGCAAGUCGAACGGGGUUUAUAUAACAGAACUCUCCGGAGGGAAGAUAUAUAAACCUAGUGGCGGACGGGUGAGUAACGCGUGGGCAACCUGCCCUGUACCGGGGGACAACAGCCAGAAAUGGCUGCUAAUACCGCAUAAGCCUGCUGUGCCGCAUGGCACAGCAGGGAAAACCACGGUGGUACAGGAUGGGCCCGCGUCUGAUUAGUUAGUUGGCAGGGUAACGGCCUACCAAGACAACGAUCAGUAGCCGGCUUGAGAGAGUGGACGGCCACAUUGGGACUGAGACACGGCCCAGACUCCUGCGGGAGGCAGCAGUGGGGAAUAUUGCACAAUGGGGGGAACCCUGAUGCAGCAAUGCCGCGUGGGUGAAGAAGCACUCCGGUGCGUAAAGCCCUGUCAGCAGGGAAGAAAAUGACAGUACCUGGACAAGAAGCCCCGGCUAACUACGUGCCAGCAGCCGCGGUAAUACGUAGGGGGCAAGCGUUAUUCGGAUUUACUGGGUGUA